GAUGAACGCUGGCGGCGUGCCUAAUACAUGCAAGUCGAGCGAACGGACGAGAAGCUUGCUUCUCUGAUGUUAGCGGCGGACGGGUGAGUAACACGUGGAUAACCUACCUAUAAGACUGGGAUAACUUCGGGAAACCGGAGCUAAUACCGGAUGAUAUUUUGAACCGCAUGGUUCAAAAGUGAAAGACGGUCUUGCUGUCACUUAUAGAUGGAUCCGCGCUGCAUUAGCUAGUUGGUAAGGUAACGGCUUACCAAGGCAACGAUGCAUAGCCGGCCUGCUAGGGUGAGCGGCCAGACUGGGAAGGAGACAGGGGACAGAGGGAUACGGGAGGCAGCAGUAGGGAAACUGGAGCAAUGGGCGAAAGCGUGACGGAGCAACGCCGAGUGAGUGAUGAAGGACUUCGGGUGGUAAAACUCUGUUAUUAGGGAAGAACAUAUGUGUAAGUAACAGUGAACAUCAUGACGGUACCUAAACAGAAAACCACGGCUAACUAAGGGC
Molecule: ribosomal RNA, 498 nt
Filed under: uncultured bacterium
Lineage: Bacteria
Description: partial 16S ribosomal RNA
Rfam family: Bacterial small subunit ribosomal RNA
Source: RNAcentral